ACAGACUUAGUUUGUGUUCAAGGAGAGAAUAGUUUUCUCUGUGAACAGCAUUAACGACGUCGUUUCCGAAGCAAUUAUUAUUCAUCUGCACCGCCGAUUCACUCAGGUGGCAAAAGGUGUAAAGGGACAACUCCAACAGCUCAACCAGGAUUUUCUCACAGUUGAAGAAAUCGAGUCUUCAUUGCCAAUGCCAUGAAUAUCUUGCUGAAUUGGGAGCAACAGCGCUGAGAUGGUGUACAUUAUCGAGUAGCGGGGUCUAAGUGCGUGGUCAUCAUUGGACCGUACAAAGAUUUUGGAACUACCAGCUGAAGAUAUGUACUCGUGUCGUGGUUUCCAAUUCAAAACGAAUAAAUGACGACGAGGAAAAGAAAUACCCAAAGCCAGAAGAAUUAUAUCUGAUUUCACCUGCCAAAUCAUUUGACCUGUCGGAAAGAUAUCGACAGAUAUAUAUGUAUAUAUAUAUAUAUAUAUAAGGUCUCCCGCGAAUUACUAAUGCAGGCAUUUUUGCGUGUAUUUGUGCUGUGAAGAUUUUCGGAUCUGCCAAGCUAACCAGGAGAUUGUUUGCAUGUAAUUGAGAUCAAUAUUGUUUAUAACAUAUUUGCAUACAUUUUCCUUCUGUUGGUUUAAAUCUUACAGAGAUGAUGUCGAAAUUCCUUUGGCAGCACGAUUCGUAUUUCUUGUAAAUGCUACACCCGAUGAAAUAAUAACACACACGUCCAUGUGUAUUUGCAUUUAAUAGGUUGUUAUUUAUAUAAAUUUAUUGUUCAAAACGACUCGAUAUAUUACAGUAGGUGUAGCAUCUCGUAAACAUGCAAAAAGAACACAAUGUUUGUGUAUGAUAUAAUAAAACAAUUCCAGCUGUGAUUUCAUGUAAUAUUCGAUACUCGUUUAUUUGCUCUUAUUCUUUCUGAAU
Long non-coding RNA from Erythranthe guttata (spotted monkey flower), 913 nucleotides. RefSeq lists it as uncharacterized. The record is from RefSeq and is a predicted model, not a curated record. Lineage: Eukaryota; Viridiplantae; Streptophyta; Magnoliopsida; Lamiales; Phrymaceae.